GCCCGUAUAGCUCAGCUGGUAGAGCAUUGUACUUAUGAGGUUAACUGGCCAAUGCAAGGGUCUCGAGUUCGACUCUCGAUAUGGGCA
Molecule: transfer RNA, 87 nt
Filed under: Agrocybe pediades
Lineage: Eukaryota; Fungi; Basidiomycota; Agaricomycetes; Agaricales; Agrocybaceae
Rfam family: tRNA
About the family: Transfer RNA (tRNA) molecules are approximately 80 nucleotides in length. Their secondary structure includes four short double-helical elements and three loops (D, anti-codon, and T loops). Further hydrogen bonds mediate the characteristic L-shaped molecular structure. tRNAs have two regions of fundamental functional importance: the anti-codon, which is responsible for specific mRNA codon recognition, and the 3' end, to which the tRNAs corresponding amino acid is attached (by aminoacyl-tRNA synthetases). tRNAs cope with the degeneracy of the genetic code in two manners: having more than one tRNA (with a specific anti-codon) for a particular amino acid; and 'wobble' base-pairing, i.e. permitting non-standard base-pairing at the 3rd anti-codon position.
Source: Rfam by way of RNAcentral